RNAcentral lists this ribosomal RNA (641 nucleotides) under uncultured bacterium. RNAcentral's name for it is "bacterial SSU rRNA". It matches the Rfam family "Bacterial small subunit ribosomal RNA", at positions 220 to 875 of the family's 1533-position model. The record is from RNAcentral.
UGGGGAUGGGCCCGCGUCCGAUUAGCUAGUUGGUGGGGUAACGGCCUACCAAGGCUGCGAUCGGUAGCUGGUCUGAGAGGAUGAUCAGCCAGACUGGGACUGAGACACGGCCCAGACUCCUACGGGAGGCAGCAGCUAGGAAUCUUGCGCAAUGGGCGAAAGCCUGACGCAGCGACGCCGCGUGGGGGACGACGGUCUUCGGAUUGUAAACCCCUUUUGGGUGGGAAGAGCAAGGACGGUACCACCCGAAGAAGCCCCGGCUAACUACGUGCCAGCGGCCGCGGUAAUACGUAGGGGGCGAGCGUUGUCCGGAUUUACUGGGCGUAAAGAGCGCGUAGGCGGUUGGGUAGGUUGGUUGUGAAAGGUGCGGGCUUAACCCGCAUAGGUCAACCAAAACCGUCCGACUCUGAGGACAGUAGAGGAAGGUGGAAUUCCGGGUGUAGUGGUGAAAUGCGUAGAGAUCCGGAGGAACACCGGCGGCGAAGGCGGCCUUCUGGGCUGGCCCUGACGCUGAGGCGCGAAAGCGUGGGGAGCGAACUGAAUUAGAUACUCAGGUAGUCCACGCCCUCAAUCAUGGACACUAGGUGUGGGGGGUAUCGACCCCUCCCGUGCCGGAGCUAACGCAGUAAGUGUCCCGCCUG